Molecule: ribosomal RNA, 786 nt
Filed under: uncultured Bacillota bacterium
Lineage: Bacteria; Bacillati; Bacillota
Description: bacterial SSU rRNA
Rfam family: Bacterial small subunit ribosomal RNA
Source: RNAcentral
UCUGCUGUAGCAAUACAGCAGGCCGGCGCACGGCGCACGGGUGCGUAACACGUGGGCAACCUGCCCUCCAAAGGGGGAUAACCCGCCGAAAGGCGGGCUAAUACCGCAUGACAUUCCGGUGACUUCGGUCGCCGGAAUCAAAGCCCGCAAGGGCGUUGGAGGAGGGGCCCGCGGCCGAUUAGCUUGUUGGCGAGGUAACGGCUCACCAAGGCUUUGAUCGGUAGCCGGUCUGAGAGGAUGGCCGGCCACACUGGAACUGAGACACGGUCCAGACUCCUACGGGAGGCAGCAGUGGGGAAUCUUGCGCAAUGGGCGAAAGCCUGACGCAGCGACGCCGCGUGGGGGAUGAAGCUUCUCGGAGUGUAAACCCCUUUCGACCCGGACGAAACGCCCGCAAGGGCUUGACGGUACGGGUAUAAGAAGCCCCGGCUAACUACGUGCCAGCAGCCGCGGUAAGACGUAGGGGGCCAGCGUUGCUCGGAAUUACUGGGCGUAAAGGGUUCGUAGGCGGUGUGGUAAGUCGGAAGUGAAAUCUCUGGGCUUAACCCAGAGGCUGCUUUCGAAACUGCCGUGCUAGAGUGCGGGAGAGGCGAGUGGAAUUACAGGUGUAGCGGUGAAAUGCGUAGAUAUCUGUAGGAACACCCGUGGCGAAGGCGGCUCGCUGGACCGCAACUGACGCUGAGGAACGAAAGCUAGGGGAGCAAACAGGAUUAGAUACCCUGGUAGUCCUAGCCCUAAACAUCAGGACUUGGGGUGGCCCGCGUUGGCGGGUCGUCCCGGAGCUAA